RNAcentral lists this ribosomal RNA (440 nucleotides) under uncultured bacterium. RNAcentral describes it as "partial 16S ribosomal RNA". It matches the Rfam family "Bacterial small subunit ribosomal RNA", at positions 338 to 795 of the family's 1533-position model. The record is from RNAcentral.
CCUACGGGAGGCAGCAGUGGGGGAUAUUGCACAAUGGGGGAAACCCUGAUGCAGCGACGCCGCGUGGGUGAAGAAGCGCCUCGGCGCGUAAAGCCCUGUCAGCAGGGAAGAAAAUGACGGUACCUGAAGAAGAAGCCCCGGCUAACUACGUGCCAGCAGCCGCGGUAAUACGGAGGGGGCAAGCGUUAUCCGGCUUUACUGGGUGUAAAGGGGGCGCAGACGGCGAUGCAAGCCAGGAGUGAAAGCCCGGGGCCCAACCCCGGGACUGCUCUUGGAACUGCGUGGCUAGAGUGCAGGAGGAGCAGGCGGAAUUCCUGGUGUAGCGGUGAAAUGCGUAGAUAUCAGGAGGAACACCGGUGGCGAAGGCGGCCUGCUGGACUGCAACUGACGUUGAGGCCCGAAAGCGUGGGGAGCAAACAGGAUUAGAUACCCGGGUAGUC